GUGCCAGCCGCUGCGGUAAUACGUAGGUGGCAAGCGUUGUCCGGAAUUAUUGGGCGUAAAGCGCGCGCAGGCGGUUCCUUAAGUCUGAUGUGAAAGCCCACAGCUCAACUGUGGAGGGUCAUUGGAAACUGGGGAACUUGAGUACAGAAGAGGAGAGCGGAAUUCCACGUGUAGCGGUGAAAUGCGUAGAUAUGUGGAGGAACACCAGUGGCGAAGGCGGCUCUCUGGUCUGUGACUGACGCUGAGCGCGAAAGCGUGGGAGCGAACAGGAUUAGAUACCCUGGUAGUCCACGCCGUAAACGAUGAGUGCUAGGUGUUAGGGUUUCCACCGUUAGUGCUGCAGUU
This 345-nucleotide ribosomal RNA is filed under the name uncultured Piscibacillus sp. Its description in RNAcentral is "bacterial SSU rRNA". It matches the Rfam family "Bacterial small subunit ribosomal RNA", at positions 505 to 853 of the family's 1533-position model. Lineage: Bacteria; Bacillati; Bacillota; Bacilli; Caryophanales; Bacillaceae. The record is from RNAcentral.